This 396-nucleotide ribosomal RNA is filed under the name uncultured bacterium. Its description in RNAcentral is "partial 16S ribosomal RNA". It matches the Rfam family "Bacterial small subunit ribosomal RNA", at positions 523 to 918 of the family's 1533-position model. The record is from RNAcentral.
AUACGUAGGUGGCAAGCGUUAUCCGGAUUUACUGGGUGUAAAGGGCGCGUAGGCGGGGGUGCAAGUCAGAUGUGAAAUCUAUGGGCUUAACUCAUGAACUGCAUUUGAAACUGUAUCUCUUGAGUGCUGGAGAGGUAGACGGAAUUCCUUGUGUAGCGGUGAAAUGCGUAGAUAUAAGGAAGAACACCAGUGGCGAAGGCGGUCUACUGGACAGUAACUGACGCUGAGGCGCGAAAGCGUGGGGAGCAAACAGGAUUAGAUACCCUGGUAGUCCACGCUGUAAACGAUGAAUACUAGGUGUGGGGGGACUGACCCCCUCCGUGCCGCAGUUAACACAAUAAGUAUUCCACCUGGGGAGUACGGCCGCAAGGUUGAAACUCAAAUGAAUUGGCGGGG